RNAcentral lists this ribosomal RNA (1534 nucleotides) under metagenome. Its description in RNAcentral is "bacterial SSU rRNA". It matches the Rfam family "Bacterial small subunit ribosomal RNA". The record is from RNAcentral.
AGAGUUUGAUCAUGGCUCAGAACGAACGCUGGCGGCGUGGUUUAGGCAUGCGAGUCGGACGAUUGUUGCCAUGUUCCAAAGCUUCGGCCGAGGAACCGGUAACGAUAGUGGCGAAAGGGUGAGUAACAGGUGGGUAAUUUACCUUCGAGUUGGGGACAACUUCGCGAAAGCGGAGCUAAUACCGAAUGAGACUUCCGGAUGGCAUCAUUUGGAAGUGAAAGGUGGGGACUUUCGGGCCUACCGCUUGAAGAGAAACCCGCCUCCUAUUAGCUUGUUGGUGAGGUAACGGCUCACCAAGGCAUAGAUGGGUAGCUGGUCUGAGAGGAUGGUCAGCCACACUGGGACUGAGACACUGCCCAGACUCCUACGGGAGGCUGCAGUCGAGAAUCAUUCGCAAUGCGCGCAAGCGUGACGAUGCGACGCCGCGUGGAGGAUGACGGUUUUCGGAUCGUAAACUCCUGUCACGUGGGGCGAGAUAUACCAGCUCUAACAUAGCCGGUAUUUGACGGUACCAUGAGAGGAAGCCCCGGCUAACUCCGUGCCAGCAGCCGCGGUAAUACGGGGGGGGCAAGCGUUGUUCGGAUUUACUGGGCGUAAAGGGCGUCUAGGUGGGUUUGUAAGUCGGAUGUGAAACAUCUCUGCUCAACGGAGAAAACGCAUCUGAAACUGCAUUUCUUGAGUACAGGAAAGGAGAGCGGAAUUCUCGGUGUAGCGGUGAAAUGCGUAGAUAUCGAGAAGAACACCGGUGGCGAAGGCGGCUCUCUAGCCUGUUACUGACACUGAAGCGCGAAAGCCAGGGGAGCGAACGGGAUUAGAUACCCCGGUAGUCCUGGCUGUAAACGAUGUGCACUAGGUGUAGGGGGUAUCGACCCCUUCUGUGCCGAAGCUAACGCAUUAAGUGCACCGCCUGGGGAGUACGGCCGCAAGGCUAAAACUCAAAGGAAUUGACGGGGGCCCGCACGAGCGGUGGAGCAUGUGGUUUAAUACGACGCAACGCGUAGAACCUUACCAGGGCUUGACAUGGUUCUGACCGUCGUCGAAAGGUGGCUUCCCUUCGGGGCAGUUCCACAGGUGUUGCAUGGCUGUCGUCAGCUCGUGUCGUGAGAUGUUGGGUUAAGUCCCGCAACGAGCGCAACCCUUGUCCUUUGUUGCCAGCACUUCGGGUGGGAACUAUGAGGAGACUGCCCGCGUUAAGCGGGAGGAAGGUGGGGAUGACGUCAAGUCAUUAUGGCCCUUACGCCCUGGGCUACACACGUGCUACAAUGGCCGGUACAAAGGGUUGCCAAGCCGCGAGGUGGAGCUAAUCCCAAAAAGCUGGCCCCAGUUCAGAUUGGAGUCUGCAAUUCGACUCCAUGAAGGAGGAAUCGCUAGUAAUGGCGCAUCAGCUACGGCGCCGUGAAUACGUUCCCGGGCCUUGUACACACCGCCCGUCACAUCACGAAAGUUGACUGUACCCGAAGUCACUGAUCCAACCUGCAAAGGAGGAAGGUGCCGAAGGUAUGGUUAAUGAUUGGGAUGAAGUCGUAACAAGGUA